GAGGGUGUAGCUUAGUGGUAUAGUGUAUGCCUAGUGUGCACAAGGUCCUGGGUUCAAUCCCCAGUAUCUCCA
RNAcentral lists this transfer RNA (72 nucleotides) under Camelus ferus (Wild Bactrian camel). It matches the Rfam family "tRNA". From Rfam's summary of the family: Transfer RNA (tRNA) molecules are approximately 80 nucleotides in length. Their secondary structure includes four short double-helical elements and three loops (D, anti-codon, and T loops). Lineage: Eukaryota; Metazoa; Chordata; Mammalia; Artiodactyla; Camelidae. The record is from Rfam by way of RNAcentral.